CGGGGCAUAGCGUAGCCUGGUAGCGCGCCUGCCUUGGGCGCAGGAGGUCCCCAGUUCAAAUCUGGGUGCCCCGACCA
Molecule: transfer RNA, 77 nt
Filed under: Acidobacteriota bacterium
Lineage: Bacteria; Pseudomonadati; Acidobacteriota
Description: Acidobacteria bacterium (freshwater sediment metagenome) tRNA-Pro
Rfam family: tRNA
About the family: Transfer RNA (tRNA) molecules are approximately 80 nucleotides in length.
Source: RNAcentral